GUGCGCUACCACUGCCCGUCAGGAGAAGAUUUAUAAUUCAUCAGUUUCUGGGUAAGACUUCUGAUGGGAGGAAUCUAUGUCUGCAGACGAAUGUAUUUCAAACAUAUUUGCAAAUCAUUCUGAUUAAUACAAAACCGUUGUGCAUGGGGAGAUGCUCAGUGGGUGAAGUCUAUGCUGGGCAAGCAUGAGGACUAAAUUCAGAUCUCUGGUGUCCACAUAAAAACAGGUGUUGCAGUUGCAUCCCUAGACGACAGAGGUAGUAGUACCUUGGGUCUCCAUGCUCCAGUUUUAGUGAGAAACACUGUCUCAAAAAAAAAAAAAUGUUUUUUUUCUUUUGGAAAGUAAUAGAGGAAGAUAUUCCAUGUAGACCUCUGGCUUCUCUGGUCACAAAUAUGGGCACUUAAGCAAUCAUAUAUGCACAUAUCAUACACACACACAUACACACACACACACUCAUUAGCACACACCAAGACAAAACGUUUCACUUGAAGCCUUAAGACAUAUGGAUAUGCACAUUCAUGAAGCUGAAACAAAAGUUCCACUGCCUGGGAUUUAUUUUACCUUAACUUCAUCUGUACACCGUAAUUUUGUUUUUUGUUUGUUUGGUUUUUUUCUCUCAUUUAAAAAGAAUCCUGUAAAUAAUUAAAAAGAAAUGUUCUAAAGAGGCUGGAGACAUGACUCACUCAGGAGCACUCUGCUCUUGCAGAGUUCCUGGGUUUGGUUUUUAGUAACUAUUUGGCAGCUAACAACCAUCUGUAACACCAGUUCUAGGGGCUCUUCUGAUGCCCUCUUUUGGCCUCUGCAGGCACCAGGCACACACAUGGUACGUAGACAAACAUGCAGACAAAAUACCCCCAUACUAAACAAAUAAAAAUAAAUAGAAGGAAAUUUAAAAUAGUAAAAAGAAUCCUGGCCAAAGUCCACUGAACUAAUGCUAUUAUCUUCCAGUAGGUUACAAUCAAUGGCUUUCAGACACUGCAGGAGAGCAUCAUCUGUUUUAAUCUAAGAGUCAGUCGUGUGGUCAGAUUUGCAUUUUAACAUUCUUUGCCAAUGGCUGCUUUAACAGAAUUACCAGGAUUUGGAUGAUAUGGAAGAGGUCAGUGGGAAGAGUAGAGGGGGAUCAAGGAUAGCUCUGUGUUUAUUGUUUGAGAAUUUGGUUGGAUAGAAAGGAAUGAAAACAAGUAGGUGAUUGUUUGGGUCGUGCCAUGUAGGAGCUGUUUAGGUGGCUUCCCAUUACCUCUUCCAGCCUUCUUCUGUCAGAGCACCAGCACUAGAAAUUUGUACUAAAAGGGUUUUCAAAAGGCAACUCUCUUCUAGUAAAAGGAGAGAGAGAGUUUUAGAGAGAAUUCUGAAAUGAAAUGUAAUUUACAGACUGUUUUUCAUCUGUGGAAGAUAUUUUGUUAGUCAUGAAUACUUAAAUAAGCCCUGAUACUAAGAACAGCAGCAGACUGGAGGGGGCUGUGUGUACUAACUCAGUGGUAGGAUACACCAUAGCAUUAUAGCUCUACAACAAGGCAGUGACCAAAUACAGUGAUGUCCUUUUAUCAGAUUAGUAUAGUAUUCAGGCAAAAGGCAUUAUCAUGUGGUUUUCAUAUGAUAAAUGUUUUAGAAACCAAACACAGUGAUAACUGCAGAAGUUCCAAUAUUGGUUCCCUUUGGUAGGGAAAGGCAGGCUUAGAGGAGGAACCCCAGUUCACUGCAGACAUGCUGGUGACUUCACAGAUGUGAAGCCUUGUAAUUCAAACUGCAUUUAUUUCUAGAAGUAAAUAUGUAAAUUAUGGUUUGCCUUCUUAUUACUAAUUAUAAAUGUAAAUUUUUUAUCUUCAUGGGUU
RNAcentral lists this long non-coding RNA (1832 nucleotides) under Mus musculus (house mouse). RNAcentral's name for it is "long non-coding RNA chr13:75731798-75733630". Lineage: Eukaryota; Metazoa; Chordata; Mammalia; Rodentia; Muridae. The record is from RNAcentral.